UGGGGAAUAUUGGGCAAUGGGGGAAACCCUGACCCAGCAACGCCGCGUGAAGGAUGAAGUAUUUCGGUAUGUAAACUUCGAAAGAAUAGGAAGAAUAAAUGACGGUACUAUUUAUAAGGUCCGGCUAACUACGUGCCAGCAGCCGCGGUAAUACGUAGGGUGCAAGCGUUAAUCGGAAUUACUGGGCGUAAAGCGUGCGCAGGCGGUUGUGUAAGUCAGAUGUGAAAUCCCCGGGCUCAACCUGGGAAUUGCAUUUGAGACUGCACGGCUAGAGUGUGUCAGAGGGGGGUAGAAUUCCACGUGUAGCAGUGAAAUGCGUAGAUAUGUGGAGGAAUACCGAUGGCGAAGGCAGCCCCCUGGGAUAACACUGACGCUCAUGCACGAAAGCGUGGGGAGCAAACAGGAUUAGAUACCCGCGUAGUCCCUGAGCGGGCUGGCAAGGCGCAU
Molecule: ribosomal RNA, 447 nt
Filed under: uncultured bacterium
Lineage: Bacteria
Description: bacterial SSU rRNA
Rfam family: Bacterial small subunit ribosomal RNA
Source: RNAcentral